UGGGGAAUAUUGCACAAUGGGCGAAAGCCUGAUGCAGCAACGCCGCGUGAGUGGUGAAGGCCUUCGGGUUGUAAAGCUCUGUCUUUUGGGACGAUAAUGACGGUACCAAAGGAGGAAGCCACGGCUAACUACGUGCCAGCAGCCGCGGUAAUACGUAGGUGGCAAGCGUUGUCCGGAUUUACUGGGCGUAAAGGAUGCGUAGGCGGAUUUUUAAGUGAGAUGUGAAAACCCUAAGCUUAACUUGGGGACUGCAUUUCAUACUGGAAAUCUAGAGUGCGGGAGAGGAGAAUGGAAUUCCUAGUGUAGCGGUGAAAUGCGUAGAGAUUAGGAAGAACACCAGUGGCGAAGGCGAUUCUCUGGACCGUAACUGACGCUGAGGCAUGAAAGCGUGGGUAGCAAACAGGAUUAGAUACCCUGGUAGUCCACGCCGUAAACGAUGAGUACUAGGUGUAGGAGGUAUCGACCCCUUCUGUGCCGCAGUUAACACAAUAAGUACUCCGCCUGGGAAGUACGAUCGCAAGAUUAAAACUCAAAUGAAUUGACGGGGUCAUAGCUG
This 556-nucleotide ribosomal RNA is filed under the name uncultured bacterium. RNAcentral's name for it is "partial 16S ribosomal RNA". It matches the Rfam family "Bacterial small subunit ribosomal RNA", at positions 355 to 932 of the family's 1533-position model. The record is from RNAcentral.